GCAUCUCCGCGGCGGAACUCAGGGAAGGAGCUAGCUGGGGCGGGGGUGAUGAUCCAGGCUGGGUUCCAGCGUAGGGGUCUUGAUGGGCACGCUGGGGUCGGGUGGAGUGCUGGAGGGAGAGGAGGUGGGACAGGUGGGUACCUGGGCUGGAGGCAGGGCCUGAGGUGGCCAGGUGCAGGGGGCUGCACCUCUCGGCUGAAGCCGGGAAUGAGGACCCCGCUGUCGGGUGGGAUUGGAGGGGACUCGCGGCUGAGGCUCUGGGCUUCGACAGGGACAUCCCCUUUCUCCUCCCCAGGGAGAUGGUGCUUGUCGUGCACGGCUUCCCGUCCUCUGUGGCCGCCCUUCGGAAUGAAGAGGGGCCCUUGUGUUGUCCCCACCCUGGCUGCCUGCUAAGGGCCCACGUGAUCUGCCUGGCAGAGGAGUUUCUUCAGGAAGAACCAGGGCAGCUUCUGCCCCUAGAGGGCCAAUGCCCUUGCUGUGAGAAGUCACUGCUUUGGGGAGACCUGAUCUGGCUGUGCCAGAUGGACACUGAGAAAGAAGUAGAAGACUCAGAAUUCGAAGAGAAACAUGGAGCUGAUCCAGGACACCUCCCGCCCACCACUGGAGUAUGUGAAGGGGGUCCCGCUCAUCAAGUACUUUGCAGAGGCACUGGGGCCCCUGCAGAGCUUCCAAGCCCAGCCUGAUGACCUGCUCAUCAACACCUACCCCAAGUCCGGCACCACCUGGGUGAGCCAGAUACUGGACAUGAUCUACCAGGGCGGCGACCUAGAGAAGUGUAACCGGGCUCCCAUCUACAUACGGGUGCCCUUCCUUGAGGUCAAUGAUCCAGGGGAUCCCUCAGGUGGUCUAUGUUGCCCGAAACCCAAAGGACGUGGCGGUUUCCUACUACCAUUUCCACCGUAUGGAAAAGACGCACCCUGAGCCUGGGACCUGGGACAGCUUCCUGGAGAAGUUCAUGGCCGGAGAAGGUGGGUUUGAUGGGAGGAAGGAGGGUGUGGAGCCGAGCGGUGGUGGCUACAACGCACAGCAACCCUGUGUCGGUGCCCCUUGCCCGCUUCUCUAGUGUCCUACGGGUCCUGGUACCAGCACGUGCAGGAGUGGUGGGAGCUGAGCCGCACCCACCCUGUUCUCUACCUCUUCUAUGAAGACAUGAAGGAGAACCCCAAAAGGGAGAUUCAAAAGAUCCUGGAGUUUUUGGGGCACUCUCUGCCAGAGGAGACCGUGGACUUCAUGGUUCAGCACACGUCGUUCAAGGAGAUGAAGAAGAACCCUAUGACCAACUACACCACCGUCCCCCGGGAGUUCAUGGACCACAGCAUCUCCCCCUUCAUGAGGAAAGGCAUGGCUGGGGACUGGAAGACCACCUUCACCGUGGCGCAGAAUGAGCGCUUCGAUGCGGACUAUGCGGAGAAGAUGGCAGGCUGCAGCCUCAGCUUCCGCUCUGAGCUGUGAGAGGGGCUCCCGGGGUCACUCCAGAGGGAGUGUGCGAAUCAAGCCUGACCAAUGGGCUCAAGAAUAAAGUAUGAUUUUUGAGUCAGGCACAGUGGCUCAUGUCUGCAAUACCAGCGAUUUGGGAGGUUGAGCUGGUAGGAUCACAAUAGGCCACGAAUUUGAGACCAGCCUGGUAAAGUAGUGAGACCUCAUCUCUACAAAGAUGUAAAAAAAUUAGCCACAUGUGCUGGCACUUACCUGUAGUCCCAGCUACUUGGGAAGCAGAGGCUGGAGGAUCAUUUCAGCCCAGGAGGUUGUGGAUACAGUGAGUUAUGACAUGCCCAUUCACUACAGCCUGGAUGACAAGCAAGACCCUCCCUCCAAAGAAAAUAAAGCUCAAUUAAAAU
RNAcentral lists this small RNA (1838 nucleotides) under Pongo abelii (Sumatran orangutan). RNAcentral describes it as "retained intron". Lineage: Eukaryota; Metazoa; Chordata; Mammalia; Primates; Hominidae. The record is from RNAcentral.